This 549-nucleotide ribosomal RNA is filed under the name uncultured Glomeromycotina. RNAcentral describes it as "SSU rRNA". It matches the Rfam family "Eukaryotic small subunit ribosomal RNA", at positions 548 to 1098 of the family's 1831-position model. The record is from RNAcentral. Lineage: Eukaryota; Fungi; Glomeromycota.
UUGGAGGGCAAGUCUGGUGCCAGCAGCCGCGGUAAUUCCAGCUCCAAUAGCGUAUAUUAAAGUUGUUGCAGUUAAAAAGCUCGUAGUUGAAUUUCGGGGUUAGUAGGUUGGUCAUGCCUCUGGUAUGUACUGAUCUCACUGAUUCCUCCCUCUUGACGAACUGUAAUGUCAUUAAUUUGGUGUUGCAGGAAAUCAGGACUGUUGCUUUGAAAAAAUUAGAGUGUUUAAAGCAGGCUAAGGCUUGAAUACAUUAGCAUGGAAUAAUGAAAUAGGACGUUUGAACCUAUUUUGUUGGUUUCUAGGAUCGACGUAAUGAUUAAUAGGGAUAGUUGGGGGCAUUAGUAUUCAAUUGUCAGAGGUGAAAUUCUUGGAUUUAUUGAAGACUAACUACUGCGAAAGCAUUUGCCAAGGAUGUUUUCAUUAAUCAAGAACGAAAGUUAGGGGAUCGAAGACGAUCAGAUACCGUCGUAGUCUUAACCAUAAACUAUGCCGACUAGGGAUCGGAUGAUGUUAAUUUUUUAAUGACUCAUUCGGCGCCUUACGGGAAAC